Cebus imitator (Panamanian white-faced capuchin) is the source of this 1281-nucleotide long non-coding RNA. RefSeq lists it as uncharacterized. NCBI's taxonomy places the organism in Eukaryota, Metazoa, Chordata, Mammalia, Primates, Cebidae. The record is from RefSeq and is a predicted model, not a curated record. The transcript is spliced from 2 exons.
GCUGCACAUCACUGGCUCCCAGUGCCAGGCGCUCACUGAAGGAUCUCCAGUUUCUUCCUUCCUGCAAUAUGCCUGGAUUGAAAAGGAAGGAUCAAAUACACUAAAAAGUUAUACACAAAGCUGUUCAUUGCAGCACAGUUGGUAACAGGAUAAGACCGGAAACAAACGUCUAUCAACAGGUGGUUGAAAAAGCUGCCAAGUGCAAGCAUCUAGCUGCAUCCUGGUUAAGACAGACACGGGGGCCUGGACCACUGACCCCGCUUGUUCCCUCUCUCUUCCUCCACCUUAUCUCCUGCAGCUCCCAUGGCCCUGCACAAGGCUUUGACCCAUCCGAACCUCAUCCUGAAAACCGACAUACUCAGAACUUUUCUAGUUCUUCAUAGUACUCAGAAACCAAAAUUUUUCCCAGGACCAGAUGUUUCCUCCUCUCAAACCCGCAUCACCACUACCCAAAACGAAAGUCUUGAUCAUUCCUAGUGUUGUCGUGUGAAGGACUGAAGUUAAACCCAGAGGAGGACUGCUCCUGUUUCCUAAGAGAUCCCCAAAAAGUAAAAGGGCGAGGAGGUUGGAAACACAGAGACGAAAUGACCUACGGAGAGUAAAACGCACGAUCUGGGCCAGAGUUUGAGAUGAUUAUGGGUUCCUUCCUCUUCCUCUUCCUUCAGUCCUGCUGGGGACUGGGUAGGCGGAUGGGAUCAGGCGUCUGUAGGAUUUUCCAGCCGCCUCGGUGGGGUAGGGAGAAAGCAGUUUUGCAAGAGGCUUGGGGAGUCGCCCGCUCGACCACCCGGCUGCCCGGCGCGUGGCUGCGCAGCGGGAGGGCGGGCUCUGGUGUAAGGGCGGGAGCGAGCCAACGCCCGGAGCGCGGAUUCCAGGGGCGCGCAGUCAGCCCUGGCCCGGCUCCCCCAUCCAGUUCCCCCGGUCGCCCGCGAGGCGCCGCCGAUUACAUAAACAGCCUUCACCUCCCUAAGGAGGGGAAAACAGAGGGCUGGUGACAAGCAGGCCGAGACCCGCAAGCAACGCCCCUCCGGACGUUUAUUCAGAUCACCCGGGACUGCCCAAAUUCUCUAUUUACAGUUCUCACAGCCCUCGUCAAGGUCAUGGACUUCGCGCCUUUUAUCUUGUUUCCUUUCAUUGUGUACAGAUUUAACUUCCUUACUAGAAAGGGAGAUCUUUCUCCACUGUUUUAAGUUGAUUUUAUACUUCCUGGCUCUACCAACCCCUGACACUUAGCACGAACCCUGGAAUGGGGUAGUUUUUAAAUAAAUAUUUACUAAAUUAAAA